CAGCGCCACAAGUAGGGGCCAUGAUUAUUGGGCCUAAAGCGUUCGUAGCAGGUUUGGAAAAUCUUUUGUGAAAUCGUUGGGCUUAACUCAACGGCGUGCAGAAGACACUACCAAACUAGAGACCGGGAGGGGUUAGAGGAAUUCUGGGGGGAGCGGUAAAAUGCUAUAAUCCCUUGAAGACCACCUGUGGCGAAGGCGUCUAACCAGAACGGGUCUGACUGUGAGGAACGAAAGCCAGGGGAGCAAACCGGAUUAGAGACCCGAGUAGUCC
This 271-nucleotide ribosomal RNA is filed under the name uncultured archaeon. RNAcentral describes it as "partial 16S ribosomal RNA". It matches the Rfam family "Archaeal small subunit ribosomal RNA", at positions 477 to 747 of the family's 1478-position model. The record is from RNAcentral.